This 207-nucleotide ribosomal RNA is filed under the name uncultured bacterium. RNAcentral's name for it is "partial 16S ribosomal RNA". It matches the Rfam family "Bacterial small subunit ribosomal RNA", at positions 568 to 774 of the family's 1533-position model. The record is from RNAcentral.
CGCGUAGGCGGCUGGAUAAGUCAGAUGUGAAAGUCCAUGGCUCAACUGUGGAAGUGCAUUUGAAACUGUCCGGCUUGAGUAUCGGAGGGGAGUGUGGAAUUCCCGGUGUAGAGGUGAAAUUCGUAGAGAUCGGGAGGAACACCGGUGGCGAAGGCGACACUCUGGGCGAAUACUGACGCUGAGGCGCGAAAGCGUGGGGAGCAAACA